GCAAACAUACCAGCACUAAUGCACCGGAUCCUAUUAAAACUCCGUAUUUAAGCAUUCUUGGGCAAGAUAGUACUAGUAUGGGUGACCCCCUAGAAAGUUCUUAUUUU
Non-coding RNA from Ilex paraguariensis (yerba mate), 107 nucleotides. The record is from the annotation of a GenBank genome assembly. Lineage: Eukaryota; Viridiplantae; Streptophyta; Magnoliopsida; Aquifoliales; Aquifoliaceae.